This 461-nucleotide ribosomal RNA is filed under the name Listeria innocua. Its description in RNAcentral is "bacterial SSU rRNA". It matches the Rfam family "Bacterial small subunit ribosomal RNA", at positions 1 to 450 of the family's 1533-position model. The record is from RNAcentral. Lineage: Bacteria; Bacillati; Bacillota; Bacilli; Caryophanales; Listeriaceae.
UUUAAAGAGAGUUUGAUCCUGGCUCAGGACGAACGCUGGCGGCGUGCCUAAUACAUGCAAGUCGAACGAACGGAGGAAGAGCUUGCUCUUCCAAUGUUAGUGGCGGACGGGUGAGUAACACGUGGGCAACCUGCCUGUAAGUUGGGGAUAACUCCGGGAAACCGGGGCUAAUACCGAAUAAUAAGAUGUGGCGCAUGCCACGCCUUUGAAAGAUGGUUUCGGCUAUCGCUUACAGAUGGGCCCGCGGUGCAUUAGCUAGUUGGUAGGGUAAUGGCCUACCAAGGCAACGAUGCAUAGCCGACCUGAGAGGGUGAUCGGCCACACUGGGACUGAGACACGGCCCAGACUCCUACGGGAGGCAGCAGUAGGGAAUCUUCCGCAAUGGACGAAAGUCUGACGGAGCAACGCCGCGUGUAUGAAGAAGGUUUUCGGAUCGUAAAGUACUGUUGUUAGAGAAGAAC